GCUCAGCACCAACUUGCUUAUCAGCAUAUCCACCAGCAACAGCAAGAGCAACUGCAGCAGCAACUCCAGACUUUUUGGACAAAUCAGUACCAAGAAAUUGAGCAGGCAACUGAUUUUAAGAAUCACAGUCUGCCAUUGGCUAGGAUCAAGAAAAUUAUGAAGGCAGAUGAAGAUGUAAGGAUGAUAUCAGCUGAAGCUCCAGUCAUAUUUGCUAGAGCCUGUGAGAUGUUCAUUCUGGAAUUAACUUUGCGGUCUUGGAAUCACACAGGGGAGAACAAAAGGAGGACACUCCAAAAAAA
This 299-nucleotide unclassified non-coding RNA is filed under the name Hevea brasiliensis (rubber tree). Lineage: Eukaryota; Viridiplantae; Streptophyta; Magnoliopsida; Malpighiales; Euphorbiaceae. The record is from RNAcentral.